GCCGGAUUAGCUCAGCGGUAGAGCACCGCUCUUGUAAAGCGAAGGUCGUCGGUUCGAUCCCGACAUCCGGCU
RNAcentral lists this transfer RNA (72 nucleotides) under Rhodococcus antarcticus. RNAcentral's name for it is "Rhodococcus sp. 75 tRNA-Thr". It matches the Rfam family "tRNA". Rfam says of the family: Transfer RNA (tRNA) molecules are approximately 80 nucleotides in length. Their secondary structure includes four short double-helical elements and three loops (D, anti-codon, and T loops). The record is from RNAcentral. Lineage: Bacteria; Bacillati; Actinomycetota; Actinomycetes; Mycobacteriales; Nocardiaceae.